This 248-nucleotide ribosomal RNA is filed under the name uncultured bacterium. RNAcentral describes it as "partial 16S ribosomal RNA". It matches the Rfam family "Bacterial small subunit ribosomal RNA", at positions 74 to 334 of the family's 1533-position model. The record is from RNAcentral.
CUCCCUUUCGGGGGAUGUCCUUAGUGGCGGACGGGUGAGGAACGCGUGGGGACCUGCCUUGGAGUGGGGAAUAACUGCUGGAAACGGCGGCUAAUACCGCAUACGCCCUUAGGGGGAAAGGCUUUGUGUCGCUCUGGGAUGGCCCCGCGUCCGAUUAGCUUGUUGGUUGGGUAACGGCUGACCAAGGCGACGAUCGGUAGCUGGUCUGAGAGGACGAUCAGCCACACUGGGACUGAGACACGGCCCAG